GCUGGUAGAGCUGGGAGCAGACCUGGAGGGGUCGGACCUGCAGGUCCUUGACGGUGCUGAUAUACAUAGGUGCUUUGAGAAAAAAAUCAGUUAGGUAUGAUUCUCAGUUCUCACUACCUCCGCGUGAUGCAAUUAAAAUUUCAAAUCUUUAUUGUUAUUUCCAAUUAAUUUUGCGGCUGAUUGGACAAUAUCAGUUACUAACUUAAUUCAAAUGGCUGGCCAAUUAUCUGACACAGUUUUAUAGUGUUUUAGUUUAUUUCAAUAACUGUUAUCCUAUAAAUUUAGUUUGUUUUAAAGGUUUGCCAUGUUUCUUUAAAAUUUAUCCGUUGAAUUUGUAUGUCUGCUCCACUGGGCUGCUGCUGCAAGCUUUCAUGUUUGGCUCUUGCAACAUUGUUUCAUAUUUGUAUGCUCUAUUUUCCUGUUCAGUCAUUUUGGUCUUUAUAUAUGGCUUGUGUUUGUGGGGAUCUUAUUCAAUCAAAGGUUAUAAGAUAUAUUACACUGCCUUUGUUGUUUCUCAUAUAUAUCUUACAUAGAUCACUAUAUGAAAAACUUAACCUUAUGAGGUCGCGGUUAUGUUAUGUGUUGACUACAUAUAUAGUUAGUUCUACAAAUCAGGGCAUUGAACUUCCAAAGUCAGGUUGGAUGUAGCUCUGAUAUAAUUAUGUAUGAAGUGAUAUGAAGGUGCGCUCAUGUCUUGCAAGACAUCCUGCUUCUGUGUCAGGCAAAUGUGCACAUCAUUGACACCAUUGAUGCACGAGCACUGAUAUUUUUUUUCCAUCUUUGAAUGUUCCAUAGGAAGUUCAGAUUUUUAUUGACCAUUUUUGUACAUAAGGAUGUAUUUUUUCAUUUAUAAUUAGGUGAAUGAAUUACAGUUCGAAAUGAUCUAUAUGGAGGUCACAUUGUUUUUUAGGGAAUUAGUCCCCUGGUGAAGUGGUGGGCAUUAUCAAUGCUGCUGCAUUUUAAGGUAGUGGUCAAAAUGCUAGCUAGGAUAAAUUGUAAGGAGCUGAUCAUAGUUUUAGGCUAUUACUGUAGAAAUUCAUGGUAUUAUCCUUGCCAUGACAGUGAUGUAUUUGCAUUGCUGCAUAAAUUCAUGGAGUGAUUCAUAUUUUCUUGACUCAUUUUACAUGUAUUGUUACUGCAACAACAGCAAUCUAUUCUUUCAUCUAUGGUGUUAAAAAAACGACGUGUAACAUAUAGAAGGUUAGGAAUUUCAGUUUCUUAUUUGGAUUUUGCAACUUAACCAUGAAUGUGAAUGUGUAGGAAUAAUGCCAAAAUUACCUAAUCAAAUUGCAAUAAGAUUUUUAGGUUUAUUAGUUAAGUCAAACCUUACCACUUGGACCCUUCUAAUGGAUUGGUUUUCACGCAGGAUGAUGCGGUGCUUACGGGAGGUAGAUGGUGAAUAGAGAGGGUGGGAGAGAGAAGGAGAGGGAGCGAUAGACAUAUAUGCAUUAUAUUCAUAGGUGCAGUCGAAAACUCAAAUCAAAGGCCCGUGGCAACGUGCGGGCAUUCUACUGGUUUUUGAACUUCCGUUUCUUGGUCAAGUGACAUUUAAAGUUUGCACUUCCUAGACAAAAGAAUUGGUAAAAUACAGUGAUUUAGUUACUUUCUUGGUCUCAGUUAAUGUACUUCUGUUGAAUUCUUCUGUCACUCUUGAUACAAAGCUAUAGCUAU
This 1671-nucleotide long non-coding RNA is filed under the name Triticum aestivum (bread wheat). Its description in RNAcentral is "long non-coding RNA (TAES_LNC002405)". Lineage: Eukaryota; Viridiplantae; Streptophyta; Magnoliopsida; Poales; Poaceae. The record is from RNAcentral.